GUAGUUCGAUACAUUUUGUGCGCAUGCGCGAAUGGUCUCGUUUUACGUAAAUUCGAAAAAUUUAAGUGUGUUGAAUUUUACUUAUUUUUUGCUUGCUUUCCAAGAGAAUCUUCAAUAAUCGGCGUCUUAAUGGAAAAGGUAGAAGGAAACUAUUCGUUGAGACUUUAAAUUUAAGUUUAUCGCGGGAUUUUUAACGACAUUCACCGGUUUCGUAAAGCGGUCGUUUGUUUUGGCGCAAUGCGGAAGUGUCGUCUUGAUGCAGUUUUUUGGCUAAAAAGUUGACGAAUUCUUCGUCUCACAAAGUCUGUCAUUUGUUUUACGUUUGCCAUCAGUUUUAGGCAGUAACUGUUAGCUGUCGAGAGUACCGGAACAGACUGUGAAGUAUUUCUAUAGAUCUAAAUAUGGUUCGUAAAAAAGGACAUUUUGUCUGGCAUUCGGAAUUCCUACACUAGUGAUCCAUGAGGACUUUAUCCAGUUUCCAGAAUGGCAGGAAGGAAGGACUUAUUGAAUUAGACCACUUGACAAGGCAGCUUACAAAAGUCAAAAGCUUGUCAACAUUUUCCGUAAAAUUUCCAAAAUAAAUACUGGAAAAAAAAACAACAUGGAAAUACAUACGACAUCAACACAAAAUAGCACAGCACCAGAAUGAAUGCGGAAGUUGUCAUGAGUGGUGUGGCAUUGUUCCUGUUCAUUUAUGGUUUACAGAUUCCAAAAGUCUGAACCAGAUAUGAGUAGAGUACAGUUUGAGAAAUGUCUUGGUAGAACAGAUACUAAGGAAAUAAUAAAGAGCAGAACAGACCACAUUUCUCCUUCUUAUAACUGGUAAAGUUCGAAGUAAGGGCGAGUACAAUAAUGCAGCCCCAGUGAGAGUUCGUGAUGAGGUGUCAGCUGUAAAUGUGUGGUCGUUAAAUGAUGUGCAGUCAGAUUGACAAGUAUUUGAAGUAACAUUAAUUUAUAAAUUAUCAAUUCUGAGAGAAAUUUUUGCUGAGCUUUGUGCAGGAUACUCUUAAAAAAUACGUGAACCAGAAUUUUAUAUUAUAAGUACAAUGUCAGAUGUACUCCAGACUUCACACAUAUGUUGAUGUUUAUACAUAUGUGGUGAUUAAUUUGUCAAGUGAAGAAAUUUUAUGAAUAAUGUUAGUGGGUGACAGAACAGAAGUACAAAGUCAAUUACAGAGGUCGACAACACUGAGUUUAGGAUGCAGAAAAAAUCCGGUGAUUCAGACGAAACAAUAUACAUAGAAAGAUUAUACUAGUAAAAUGAAAACUUUUAGUGUAUGGAAAAGUUUGGAAGCAGGUUUACCAUUGACAGAAGAGACAGUAUUUACAGACUGGUCUACACUUAUUUUGAUUUGACUUUUACACGGUGAUUCCUCCAGUAAACAGCUAGUGAUCUGAGAGAAUUGUGUUCAUUAUAUCAUACAGGUUUAGAGUGAAUGUAAAAUUAAUGUGUAUUUAAAUAAAUCAAAAUUUUUCAAAAUUGGAUGUUGAAACUUUACAACUGUUUAGUAUUUCAGUAAUCAGUUAGGAUUUUUGAGUGAUUUCAAUAAAGUACAAAUUAAAAAAAAAAAAUCACUAUCAGCCAAGAUGAUGUGCUAUUGUAAAACAUAGAAAGAAAAUUCACAAGUCACAUUAACUUGGUAAAAGGGAUUUUAACAGAAUUAAACUAUAAUUGGUGAAGGAAUCUGCAUGUUGUAUCAAAUAGCUAUAAUGUAUUUUGUAGUUCUUUGGAUGUAUUUUCUAUCUAUGAUUCUAUCUCUUUUCAAACUAAAUUUUAUCUCUUAAAUCUAUUGAAAUUGCCAUCAAAAUAAAAAUUUCUUUUAAAAACAAUAUAUUUAAAAAAUAAAAGGUAUAUUCAACAAGCCAGUACUUUGUUACUAAUCUUAGUCAGUGGAAUUUAUUUUUAGACUUGUCCUAUUUUUUUUUAUUCAGUUUCUGGAUCCCCAUUUCUAGUUACUAUACACAUUUUGGGAUUCCAGCAAUUUUCCACAUCCUCAUUACAAGAUAGUAUUGAUUUUUCAUUGGUCCAUAAAAUAAAACUGUUCUAUUAAUAGAUUUUCAGAAAAUCUGUUUGAGUUAUUUAUACCCAGUAUACAAAUUCAUGUACUUUUAUUUGAUUUGAACAUUACUGUUUAAUAUUAUCCUGAACAAAUUACAGGUUUUCUUUGCUUUAUAUUAGAGAAUUUUGGUAAAUUUCGUUGAUGAAAGGUCCAAGGUACUUUUCUCAAAUAGUCAAUUAAUAGAAAUUUUCAAAUAUAAUAUCUUGUGCAGUGAAUUAAAAAGAAAUUUAUUUAUUUCA
Long non-coding RNA from Mercenaria mercenaria, 2299 nucleotides. RefSeq lists it as uncharacterized. The transcript has 2 exons. Lineage: Eukaryota; Metazoa; Mollusca; Bivalvia; Venerida; Veneridae. The record is from RefSeq and is a predicted model, not a curated record.